Molecule: long non-coding RNA, 1245 nt
Filed under: Panax ginseng (ginseng)
Lineage: Eukaryota; Viridiplantae; Streptophyta; Magnoliopsida; Apiales; Araliaceae
Description: long non-coding RNA (PGIN_LNC001138)
Source: RNAcentral
UCCAUAAUUGGCUCUCCUAGUCCUAAUUCCACCACCACAGAGACACAGACACAGAGGAGGCCAACCACCAGAAUUAUACAAGUGCAACUAAAUAAGCAUAUAAACACUUUAUUGCUGCUUCAAACCAUUUCUCAUAAUUUAACAGUUCCAUAAACAAAUUAGAGCGGCAAAACAAGUAACUUGAAAUUCCUUUCUUCAUCUCAUACAUAAUUAGUGUAUCAUACAUAACUUGAAAUUUACAUUUUGUUUUUCAUUUCAGGAAUAUCACUAUAACUUUCAUUAACAUGUUGGGCUUGUCAUUUAGACUAUGGUAGACUGCAAUUAUGAUAACAGUAAGUAAGAUCAUUGUUUUCUGCAAUUUUAAUGUAAGUGAUGAUGUGUAAACUUCUUGUUAUCUGAUAACAGUAUGGUAGACUGCAAUUAUGAUAACAGUAAGUAAGAUCAUUGUUUUUUGCAAUUUUAAUGUAAGUGAUGAUGUGUAAACUUCUUGUUAUCUGAUAACAGUAUGGUAGACUGCAAUUAUGAUAACAGUAUGGUAGACUGUAAGUGAUGCUGUGUAGACUAUGGUAGACUGCAAUUAUGAUAACAGUAUGGUUGCCAUGUUGUGCAAUUUUCUGCAACUUCUUGUUUGCAAGUUAUCUGAUUUUGUAUUUUAUGUAGAUGUAUCAAGUUAUGUUCAGAUUGUAUCUGUGAAAAACAAUUAAAGACUUUGAACAUAUUUUCAGAUUGUAAACAGUCGAGGAGAUGUUCUUCAGUGUAGCCAUUACAUGCCUAUUGUUCGUCCUGAAGAUAAAGCCAUUAUAGCCACGCAUCCUGUAUUUUUUAUGUAACUUUGAGGAUGUGUUUUUGGAUAUUAGACUAUGUAUUUUUUUACUUUUGGAUAUUAGACUAUGUAUUUUGCUUUGCUUGGAAUGUACCAAUACAUUGGUUUACAGACAGGGUCUCUGUUUUCUUUUGAAAAACUGUUAUCAUUCAUCUUAUAGGGACACGGUUUUUGACCUCUACACAACCCAAAAUUUCAGACAGGGUUUCUGACUUCUACACGAAAUAACCAAAUAAAUUGUAGGGACAAACUUCCAGAUUUGAGGUGCCUUAGAAAAUAUACAAUAGAUCUUUCUUUUUCAUGAGUACAAGUUCCAUUAUCAUUCUAUUAAAAGAUAUGGUCUCCUGUCAUUCUAUUAAGUUUACGCCUAUCAUAAUGGUCAUCAUGAGGAAUGAUGCCAGAUGAAAUGUUUUCAACUUUUG